CUCUAGCCCCCGGGCUAGUAGGCUCUGCUCAGUGAUUAUUAAAUAGCCGCAGUAUUUUGACUGUGCUAAGGUAGCAUAGUAAUUAGGCCUAUAAUAGAGGUCCGGAAUGAAGGAGUUGACGAUUUUUAGGCUUUCUUAACUAAAGAAUUGGAAUUUUAUAUUUAAGUAAAAAAGCUUAACUUUUUAGAAAGACGAUAAGACCCUAUAAAGCUUUACUAAUUUCCAAUUAAUAUCCGGGGACUUAUUACGCGGGGUUAGUUGAGCUGGGGCGGCAAUAAAUAUUCUUUUAUAGAGAGAACAAGAUAUUUGAAAAGUGAGAUCUAAUGGAACUUAGAACAAGCUACUUUAGGGAUAACAGCGCAAUUUUUUUAAAGAGAUCUUAUCGAUAAAAAAGACUUGCGACCUCGAUGUUGAAUUGAGGGGCCGGGGUCAAGCAAAAAUGAUCCUAGGGAGUCUGUUCGACUUUUAAUUCCUC
Molecule: ribosomal RNA, 475 nt
Filed under: Haploniscus sp. 1 SB-2021a
Lineage: Eukaryota; Metazoa; Arthropoda; Malacostraca; Isopoda; Haploniscidae
Description: partial 16S ribosomal RNA
Rfam family: Bacterial large subunit ribosomal RNA
Source: RNAcentral